RNAcentral lists this ribosomal RNA (253 nucleotides) under uncultured bacterium. Its description in RNAcentral is "partial 16S ribosomal RNA". It matches the Rfam family "Bacterial small subunit ribosomal RNA", at positions 524 to 776 of the family's 1533-position model. The record is from RNAcentral.
UACGUAGGUCGCAAGCGUUGUCCGGAUUUACUGGGCGUAAAGAGCGCGCAGGCGGCUGGUCAAGUCCGAUGUGAAAUCUCCCGGCUUAACUGGGAAACUGCAUCGGAAACUGAUCGGCUUGAAGGUGGGAGAGGGUAGUGGAAUUCCCGGUGUAGUGGUGAAAUGCGUAGAUAUCGGGGGGAAUACCAGUGGCGAAAGCGGCACCCUAGCGUUAGCCUGACGCUCAUGUGCGAAAGCGUGGGGAGCGAACGGG